CGGGUGAGUAACGCGUGAGGAACCUGCCUCAAAGAGGGGGACAACAGUUGGAAACGACUGCUAAUACCGCAUAAGCCCACGGCUCGGCAUCGAGCAGAGGGAAAAGGAGUGAUCCGCUUUGAGAUGGCCUCGCGUCCGAUUAGCUAGUUGGUGAGGUAACGGCCCACCAAGGCGACGAUCGGUAGCCGGACUGAGAGGUUGAACGGCCACGUUGGGACUGAGACACGGCCCAG
This 233-nucleotide ribosomal RNA is filed under the name uncultured bacterium. Its description in RNAcentral is "partial 16S ribosomal RNA". It matches the Rfam family "Bacterial small subunit ribosomal RNA", at positions 103 to 334 of the family's 1533-position model. The record is from RNAcentral.